Molecule: long non-coding RNA, 216 nt
Organism: Sebastes umbrosus (honeycomb rockfish)
Lineage: Eukaryota; Metazoa; Chordata; Actinopteri; Perciformes; Sebastidae
Exons: 3
Source: RefSeq, a predicted model, not a curated record
CACAGGUCAUUUCAGAGAGAGAGCGUUCCUAUUGGCUGUGCUCUGGUGGGCGGUGCUUGUUAUUCCCUUAACUGAUCUCAAUAUGGCGGCCAGGUCACAAACUUUCUCAUUUUACAGCUAAACAGUACACUGCAGGAUGUUUCUGAAAACAUUUGAGGCAAGAUAUAGGCGUUACAGUAACAGAAUAUUGAUUCAUAUUUGAUCAGCGCUGCCUAG